Molecule: ribosomal RNA, 170 nt
Filed under: Marinilactibacillus psychrotolerans
Lineage: Bacteria; Bacillati; Bacillota; Bacilli; Lactobacillales; Carnobacteriaceae
Description: 16S rRNA. Bacterial SSU
Rfam family: Bacterial small subunit ribosomal RNA
Source: RNAcentral
CUUAAAACGAGAGUUUGAUCCUGGCUCAGGACGAACGCUGGCGGUAUGCCUAAUACAUGCAAGUCGAACGAUGAAAUCCUCUGCUUGCAGAGGAUGGAUUAGUGGCGAACGGGUGAGUAACACGUGGGUAACCUGCCCAUAAGAGGGGGAUAACAUUCGGAAACGGAUGC